RNAcentral lists this ribosomal RNA (97 nucleotides) under uncultured marine bacterium. Its description in RNAcentral is "partial small subunit ribosomal RNA". It matches the Rfam family "Bacterial small subunit ribosomal RNA", at positions 958 to 1054 of the family's 1533-position model. The record is from RNAcentral.
AACGCGAAAAACCUUACCUACUCUUGAAAUCCAGAGAAUUCGCUAGAGAUAGCUUAGUGCCUUCGGGAACUCUGUGACAGGUGCUGCAUGGCCGUCG